This 903-nucleotide ribosomal RNA is filed under the name uncultured bacterium. RNAcentral describes it as "bacterial SSU rRNA". It matches the Rfam family "Bacterial small subunit ribosomal RNA", at positions 488 to 1397 of the family's 1533-position model. The record is from RNAcentral.
AAGCCCCGGCUAAAUACGUGCCAGCAGCCGCGGUAAUACGUAUGGGGCAAGCGUUAUCCGGAAUUAUUGGGCGUAAAGAGUGCGUAGGUGGUUACCUAAGCGCAAGGUUUAAUCUUGAGGCUCAACCUCAUUCUGCCUUGCGAACUGGGCUACUUGAGUGCAGGAGGGGAAAGCGGAAUUCCCAGUGUAGCGGUGAAAUGCGUAGAUAUUGGGAAGAACACCGGUGGCGAAGGCGGCUUUCUGGACUGUAACUGACACUGAGGCACGAAAGCGUGGGGAGCAAACAGGAUUAGAUACCCUGGUAGUCCACGCCGUAAACGAUGAGCACUAGUUGUUGGGUACGAAUGUAUUCAGUGACGCAGUUAACGCAAUAAGUGCUCCGCCUGGGGAGUACGGUGGCAACACUAAAACUCAAAGGAAUUGACGGGGACCCGCACAAGCAGCGGAGCAUGUGGUUUAAUUCGAAGCAACGCGAAAAACCUUACCAGGGCUUGACAUCCCUCUGACCGGAUCCUAACAGAUCCUUUCUUCGGACAGAGGUGACAGGUGGUGCAUGGUUGUCGUCAGCUCGUGUCGUGAGAUGUUGGGUUAAGUCCCGCAACGAGCGCAACCCUUGUCGUCAGUUACUAACAUUAAGUUGAGGACUCUGACGAGACUGCCGAGGUCAACUCGGAGGAAGGUGGGGAUGACGUCAAAUCAUCAUGCCCCUUAUGUUCUGGGCUACACACGUGCUACAAUGGUCGGUACAAUGAGAGGCAAUACAGUGAUGUGGAGCAAAUCACCAAAACCGAUCCCAGUUCGGAUUGCAGGCUGCAACUCGCCUGCAUGAAGUCGGAGUUGCUAGUAAUCGCGAAUCAGCAUGUCGCGGUGAAUGCGUUCCCGGGUCUUGUACACACCGCCCGU